CCUACGGGGCGCAGCAGUGGGGAAUAUUGCACAAUGGGGGAAACCCUGAUGCAGCGACGCCGCGUGAGUGAAGAAGUACUUCGUUAUGUAAAGCUCUAUCAGCAGGGAAGAAAAUGAUGGUACCUGAGUAAGAAGCCCCGGCUAACUACGUGCCAGCAGCCGCGGUCAUACGUAGGGGGCAAGCGUUAUCAGGAUUUACUGGGUGUAAAGGGAGCGUAGACGGCAGUGCAAGUCUGGAGGGAAAGGCGGGGGCUCAACCCCCGGACUGCUCUGGAAACUGUACGGCUGGAGUGCAGGAGAGGUAAGUGGAAUUCCUAGUGUAGCGGUGAAAUGCGUAGAUAUUAGGAGGAACACCAGUGGCGAAGGCGGCUUACUGGACUGUAACUGACGUUGAGGCUCGAAAGCGUGGGGAGCAAACAGGAUUAGAUACCCUUGUAGUC
RNAcentral lists this ribosomal RNA (440 nucleotides) under uncultured bacterium. RNAcentral's name for it is "partial 16S ribosomal RNA". It matches the Rfam family "Bacterial small subunit ribosomal RNA", at positions 338 to 795 of the family's 1533-position model. The record is from RNAcentral.